Eupeodes corollae is the source of this 1231-nucleotide RNA transcript. RefSeq lists it as uncharacterized. The transcript is spliced from 2 exons. Lineage: Eukaryota; Metazoa; Arthropoda; Insecta; Diptera; Syrphidae. The record is from RefSeq and is a predicted model, not a curated record.
AAGACCUACAAGGGUUUUAUUUGCAUAUUCAUUUGUCUGGUCACAAAAGCUAUUCAUAUCGAGCUUGUCUCAGAUAUGACUUCCGAAGGUUUUUUGGCUGCAUUCCGAAGGUUCACUGCGCGAAGAGGAAGCUGUAGUCACUUGUACAGUGACAAUGGAACCAACUUUGUGGGAGCCAACAAAGAGCUUAUAAAGAUGAAUCGUCAAUUUCUUCAAAUUCUUUCGCCUGACGUCCGUGCCCAGAUGGAAAAUGAAGGAACUUCCUGGAGUUUUAUUCCGCCUGCCUCACCACACUUCGGUGGAUUAUGGGAGGCAGGAGUAAAAUCAGUUAAUUCAAAUCGAAGCCUCACUUAACUCCAGACCGCUGUGCCCACUCACCGAUGAUCCUACGGACUAAAGUGUACUCACUCCUGCCCAUUUCCUUAUUGGAGAACCUACGAAUAUUGUUCCAGAACCAUCAUUACUUGAUCUUAAAACCAACCGACUCAACAGAUGGCAACAUAUCCAACAAAUGUUCCAGCACUUUUGGGAUAGAUGGCACAAGGAAUAUCUAUCACGCCUUCAACAACGUCCAAAGUGGACCAAAUCCAAAAGAAACAUCGAAAGAAACGACAUAGUAAUCAUCAAAGAUGAAAGAUAUCCUCCAGCGAAGUGGCCACUGGCUAGAGUAGUGGAGACUCAUCCAGGUGCAGACGGCAUAUGCAGGGUUGUAUCUGUGUAUGCAAAUGGAAAACAAUUCAAACGCCCAAUCACAAAGUUAUGUCUACUUCCGGAAGUUAACACACCAAAUUCAGCAUGUAACGACAAUUCCACAACAUAACAACAUUCAACUUUAUUUACACAUCUUUAAUAAGUUCAAAAGGAUUCAAUAUUCUCAACAACGUUAGCGAGUAUCAGGCGCUAAAAAUCCUGAUCCCUUUUUUUUCAACAUUCAUUCUAAUGUAUAUAAGAGGAAAUGCUUGUAUACCUUUAUUUUUAUCUUUAUCAAAGAAUCUAUCUUUUUUUGUAUCUUAAGUAAAGAACAGUAGUUCUUCCCCGGCGGUAUGUUUAAGAUCUAUUACAAUUAUGUCCGAAAAUAAUAUUGUUAAUCUUAACGAAACUAAUGGCAACACCUCUAGCUUAACCCAAGAGCAAGUUGUCCGUAAUCUCUUUCACUUUGGCUGCAUACCGCAUCGGGAUAAGUUCUUUUCUUCAUAAUUACAUUGAUAUACACUUUAAUUUUCUAUUAUAC